Pecten maximus is the source of this 440-nucleotide long non-coding RNA. RefSeq lists it as uncharacterized. The transcript is spliced from 2 exons. Lineage: Eukaryota; Metazoa; Mollusca; Bivalvia; Pectinida; Pectinidae. The record is from RefSeq and is a predicted model, not a curated record.
UACACUGUUUCUAUACACACUCCCUUAACUAGGUACACUGUUGCUAUACACACACCCUGUAUCUAUAUAUGGUUCAUGGUCGCUCUAAUUUAGACUAAACCCUGUAACUAGGUACACUGUUUCUAUACACACACCCUGUAACUAGGUACACUGUUUCUAUACACACACCCUGUAACUAUAUAUGGUUCAUGGUCGCUCUAAUUUAGACUAAACCCUGUAACUAGGUACAUUGUCCCUCUUCAGCCUGAACAGAAGGAAUUCCACAAAUGAGACAUAUCUGUUCACAUAACUGCACCCUGAAAAAUAAUUUGAGUUAAAAAGGAAAAGAAAGAAAAAGGAAGUCUAGUCGUCUAAUGAAGCUUAUAAAUCUUUUACAUUACAAAUUGCAGUCUGAUGAAGGUUUGUUAAAAACGUAUAAAAAAAAAAAAAAAUCUCUCAAA